RNAcentral lists this transfer RNA (70 nucleotides) under Marmota monax (woodchuck). RNAcentral's name for it is "tRNA.Ala". Lineage: Eukaryota; Metazoa; Chordata; Mammalia; Rodentia; Sciuridae. The record is from RNAcentral.
GGGCUGGGGCUCAAUGGUAGAGCACUUGCCUAGCAUGUGUGAAGCACUGGGUUCGAUCCUCAGCACCACA